UACCAGACUCCUACGGGAGGCAGCAGUGGGGAAUAUUGCACAAUGGGGGAAACCCUGAUGCAGCGACGCCGCGUGAGCGAUGAAGUAUUUCGGUAUGUAAAGCUCUAUCAGCAGGGAAGAAAAUGACGGUACCUGACUAAGAAGCCCCGGCUAACUACGUGCCAGCAGCCGCGGUAAUACGUAGGGGGCAAGCGUUAUCCGGAUUUACUGGGUGUAAAGGGAGCGUAGACGGCUGUGCAAGCCAGAUGUGAAAGCCCGGGGCUCAACCCCGGGACUGCAUUUGGAACUGUGUGGCUGGAGUGCGGGAGGGGCAGGCGGAAUUCCUGGUGUAGCGGUGAAAUGCGUAGAUAUCAGGAGGAACACCGGCGGCGAAGGCGGCCUGCUGGACCGCGACUGACGUUGAGGCUCGAAAGCGUGGGGAGCAAACAGGAUUAGAUACCCCUGUA
Molecule: ribosomal RNA, 446 nt
Filed under: uncultured bacterium
Lineage: Bacteria
Description: bacterial SSU rRNA
Rfam family: Bacterial small subunit ribosomal RNA
Source: RNAcentral